UCCCUGGUGGUCCAGUGGGUAAGACUCUGCUGCCACUGCAGGAGGUACUGGUUCAAUCCCUGUUCAGGGAA
RNAcentral lists this transfer RNA (71 nucleotides) under Bos taurus (domestic cattle). It matches the Rfam family "tRNA". Rfam says of the family: Transfer RNA (tRNA) molecules are approximately 80 nucleotides in length. Their secondary structure includes four short double-helical elements and three loops (D, anti-codon, and T loops). Lineage: Eukaryota; Metazoa; Chordata; Mammalia; Artiodactyla; Bovidae. The record is from Rfam by way of RNAcentral. RNAcentral also lists the same sequence under 1 other name.